This is a long non-coding RNA of Gallus gallus (chicken), 1390 nucleotides long. The record is from Ensembl. NCBI's taxonomy places the organism in Eukaryota, Metazoa, Chordata, Aves, Galliformes, Phasianidae.
CUUGGGCAACCUGUUCAGUGCGUCACCACCCUCUGGCUGAAAAAACUUCUAAGUUUCCUUCUAGUUCUGCUGCAGUCCAUCCUUUGCAGAAGUGCAGGGCCAGAGCUGAGCGUGGCAGCACAGCCAGCACCCAGCAUCACUCCACUUAACCUGGAUGGAACCCCCCCCUAUUUCCAGGCCCAGCAGCACACCUGGCCCAGCUGAACCCACAAACAAAAGCUGCAUUGGCAAUAAGUCAGCACAGACCUCCCAAACCCAAUACAUUACUGAGAGCUGAUAGGGAAGUACAUUCUCAUUCCGAGCAGGUACCUCAUCAUUUUAAUGCAUUAAUCAAACCUCCACGUCCCUGGCCUGAAGUCCCUGCAUUCAUCAUCAAUUCAAGAUGAACCUAUUAUUUAGGUUCAGAAAAUUGCUCACUAAACACAACCAAGUGUUACCUCUCUGAAGUUGGUGUAACAGGAGCACAGCAGAGACCCCCAUGGGCACUGCAGGACCCUGAGCUGACCAAGCACUGCUCACAUUGCUCCUGACAGCAUCCAGCUUGCCCUGAGCUGAUCAAUUUCACAAACACAUUUCCCAUGCAAAGACUAAAAUAUAAAUCCCAACGCUGUCUCAAAUCUGGAUCUCACCCAGAAGUCAGGAGUCUGUAUUUCUUGGCUCUGAGUACCCUCAAAAAGCACAGAAGGAGCCUUACAGUUAAUAGUAAAUGCCAGGCUGAAUAACAACAGCAACCACCCACACUUGGAUGGAUGGGUUGAGAAGAAGCUUUGUUUCAUUUUAUUGCCCAUUCUGUGACUAAUUGCCAAACUUUUCUUAUUACUGAUAAUUAGGUCCUGGUAGCUUAGCAUCUGCUUCCCCUCCAGCAGCAAAUGCAGGGGAUGCUCUGUGCACCACAGCCAGGGCAGGGCACUAUUGGAGCACACAGCACAACACCGUGUGGGUUCCACAUCUGCACGAGGGCAGAAGGACUGAGCUGCUCCUCACCUCCCCAGAACAAGCAGAGUUUAAUGAGAUGACCCUUGCAGAACACUGAAUUGCUCAUCUUUCCAGCACGCGUAACAACGUAUCUGCAAUAAAAUGAUUAGCAAACUGCAGUGUUUGGGUUUCCUGCUGGUGAAUACUGACUGUCCCUCCAGCUUUCUUUCUGCACUUUGGAUGCAGCCAUCGGGUGAGGGUGAAGCACAGAGCUCAUCACAGGAGCCUGCCUUUGACUUCCUAUGGGUUCAUUCACAAUGUUGGGAAAUAAAGAAUGGGACCAGAUCUCCUUGGGACAUGGGAAGCAUCUCUAAAACACAAAUUAAACGCGGGGAUUAUGAGUAAUUUGGAGAUUUAUGUUCAUCAAUUUUGCAUACGAAAAAUCUAUGCAUUUUUAUAAAAACAUUCAUUUCCU